GGCAAACGCUGGGCGGCGUGCCUAAUACAUGCAAUUCGAGCGAAUCUGAGGGAGCUUGCUCCCAAAGAUUAGCGGCGGACGGGUGAGUAACACGUGGGCAACCUGCCUGUAAGACUGGGAUAACUCCGGGAAACCGGGGCUAAUACCGGAUAAUAUCUAUUUAUACAUAUAAUUAGAUUGAAAGAUGGUUCUGCUAUCACUUACAGAUGGGCCCGCGGCGCAUUAGCUAGUUGGUGAGGUAACGGCUCACCAAGGCGACGAUGCGUAGCCGACCUGAGAGGGUGAUCGGCCACACUGGGACUGAGACACGGCCCAGACUCCUACGGGAGGCAGCAGUAGGGAAUCUUCCGCAAUGGACGAAAGUCUGACGGAGCAACGCCGCGUGAGUGAUGAAGGUUUUCGGAUCGUAAAACUCUGUUGUUAGGGAAGAACAAGUACCGGAGUAACUGCCGGUACCUUGACGGUACCUAACCAGAAAGCCACGGCUAACUACGUGCCAGCAGCCGCGGUAAUACGUAGGUGGCAAGCGUUGUCCGGAAUUAUUGGGCGUAAAGCGCGCGCAGGCGGUUCCUUAAGUCUGAUGUGAAAGCCCACGGCUCAACCGUGGAGGGUCAUUGGAAACUGGGGAACUUGAGUGCAGAAGAGGAAAGUGGAAUUCCAAGUGUA
This 666-nucleotide ribosomal RNA is filed under the name Bacillus sp. HPC1330. RNAcentral describes it as "bacterial SSU rRNA". It matches the Rfam family "Bacterial small subunit ribosomal RNA", at positions 28 to 677 of the family's 1533-position model. The record is from RNAcentral. Lineage: Bacteria; Bacillati; Bacillota; Bacilli; Caryophanales; Bacillaceae.